CCACUGUGUAUAAAUACAGCGACUCCUGCUCCCUUCUCCACUCGCUAACCAGCAAGUGCCGAGCUGAAACCAGCACUUGGGUUAAUGGCACCCAGUGCCUGGAAAUCCCAACACUCAAAGAGAAGAAUAGACUCAGGAAACCCAUUGCAGAGAAACUGUCAUGAUCGGAAUAACCGCAGCAUUGAGUAGCUGAAACUGCUCCUGGGGAAGGAGUUUCAGAGACACCAGCCCAACUCCAAGCUGGAGGAGUCAACAACCUGGAGAUGUCAGCUACCGAAAUAUAGCCGAGCUUUUGCAGCAUCUGCCAAAAGCCUACAGCAGGAUAUUUGUGAAGGGGAUGCCUGUUGCCUGAGAAGGAGCUCUGCAAUUCCUGAAUCUCCACGCAGCAAACAUUGAAACCCGGCUGAAGCUGAUCUGCUGUUUCCAGAGGUCACAAGUGGUGCCUAAGGACUCUGGUGCUUCUUCUGCACCUGCUUCCAGCAGCACCGAAACCCUCCUGCAGCCUCGGGAGGCCUUGGUAGACCAAGAGUACCUGUAUGUGCUUCCUGGACAUUUGCUCGUAUUCCAGAGGAGAUCGUGACUUGCUGUACAAGUCCCCCCACUCCUCUCAUGAGUAGGAAGAAUGUUUUCCUUUAGCAGAGCGUUACUAUGCUCGGAUGUCUGCUUCCCUUCUUCCAGAAGGACUGAAAUGAUCCCACCAUGUGGAGAGAAAGUUAUUCUAAAAGAAUGUGAGCUGUAAUCCUCCUGCGAGGAUGGCUGAGGAGUUGUUCAGAGAGGAACACCGACUGUUCUUAACCUUAGUGAGGUUGUACGUGUAGAUCUGUUGAGAAAGCAGUAACUUCUAAGAUGUUCAGGCUAGCUUUUUCAAAAGUGUCCAUUCAGGAGGAGCCUAUUCCUCUGACCUGCUCCACUUGAGACUCCCAUAUCCCAGGCUACUGCGCCGCCUGGUUGUGGGGACCCAAGGUGGCUCAAGCAGAGCAGCAGGUCUAACUGGACACCUUUGAAAACCUAGCUUCCCUACGGGGGCCAUAAUGGGCUCUACAAUAUUUGUAGACUGUACUGAGCAUGCUCUGGAAAGGGUUAAACCAUAACUCAAACUAUGUAGAGGAAAUUCCUCAGGAUGUCUUGCUCACAGAGUCAGAGUACUGCUUGUGAGAUGCAGGAUAUGUGCGCCUUUUAUAAAGGCAAAAGCUCAUUUAUAUCCUUGUAGGAAAGAAAGUUAUGGCUGUGUUGUCGAUUUUACAAGAUAUGUUUAUCAAAGUCUUUCAUUAAAGGCAGGUGUACAAAUUGUAUUUACUCUGUGGUACCCUACCCCCAGGGGAGAAUAUGAAUCAUUACUGUCCUUGGAGGAUGCUGUGACAUGUUAUGUGUGAGCUGCACCAAGUGUAUAUAACCUGUGCCAGGAACUACCUUGGAUUUCAGAAACUGCAGAAACUUUUACCAGUACAAAAAUAAAUAAAAAUCUAGUUAACAAAUACA
Molecule: long non-coding RNA, 1479 nt
Organism: Strigops habroptila (Kakapo)
Lineage: Eukaryota; Metazoa; Chordata; Aves; Psittaciformes; Psittacidae
Exons: 3
Source: RefSeq, a predicted model, not a curated record